AUUGAACGCUGGCGGCAUGCCUUACACAUGCAAGUCGAACGGCAGCGCGGGCUUCGGCCUGGCGGCGAGUGGCGGACGGGUGAGUAAUGCAUCGGAACGUGCCCAGGAGUGGGGGAUAACGUAGCGAAAGUUACGCUAAUACCGCAUACGUACUGAGGUAGAAAGCGGGGGAUCGAAAGACCUCGCGCUCAUGGAGCGGCCGAUGUCGGAUUAGCUAGUUGGUGAGGUAAAAGCUCACCAAGGCGACGAUCCGUAGCUGGUCUGAGAGGACGACCAGCCACACUGGGACUGAGACACGGCCCAGACUCCUACGGGAGGCAGCAGUGGGGAAUCUUGGACAAUGGGGGAAACCCUGAUCCAGCAAUGCCGCGUGUGGGAUGAAGGCCCUCGGGUUGUAAACCACUUUUGGCAGGAAAGAAAUCGCCUGUGCUAAUACCAUGGGCGGAUGACGGUACCUGCAGAAUAAGCACCGGCUAACUACGUGCCAGCAGCCGCGGUAAUACGUAGGGUGCGAGCGUUAAUCGGAAUUACUGGGCGUAAAGCGUGCGCAGGCGGUUUUGUAAGACAGAUGUGAAAUCCCCGGGCUUAACCUGGGAACUGCAUUUGUGACUGCAAGACUAGAGUGUGUCAGAGGGAGGUGGAAUUCCGCGUGUAGCAGUGAAAUGCGUAGAGAUGCGGAAGAACACCGAUGGCGAAGGCAGCCUCCUGGGAUAACAC
RNAcentral lists this ribosomal RNA (717 nucleotides) under uncultured bacterium. Its description in RNAcentral is "bacterial SSU rRNA". It matches the Rfam family "Bacterial small subunit ribosomal RNA", at positions 28 to 740 of the family's 1533-position model. The record is from RNAcentral.